GGACCAAGGAGUCUAGCAUGUGCGCGAGUUAUUGGGACUAUCGAAUCCUAAAGGCGAAAUGAAAGUAAAUGCCAAGCCUGGCUUUGCAGAGGGAAGAUGGGCAGCAAUUAAGUUGCCUCGCACUCCCGGGGCGUCUCGUUCUCAUUGCGAGUUGAGGCGCACCUAGAGCGUACAUGCUGGGACCC
This 185-nucleotide ribosomal RNA is filed under the name Oxypoda sp. 3 BT-2011. Its description in RNAcentral is "partial 28S ribosomal RNA". It matches the Rfam family "Eukaryotic large subunit ribosomal RNA", at positions 663 to 817 of the family's 3401-position model. Lineage: Eukaryota; Metazoa; Arthropoda; Insecta; Coleoptera; Staphylinidae. The record is from RNAcentral.